GGGUCUUUAGCUCAGCUGGUCAGAGCAUCUGUCUUACACACAGAGGGUCGCAGGUUCGAAUCCUGCAGGGCCUA
Molecule: transfer RNA, 74 nt
Filed under: Candidatus Cardinium hertigii
Lineage: Bacteria; Pseudomonadati; Bacteroidota; Cytophagia; Cytophagales; Amoebophilaceae
Also listed under: 1 other name
Rfam family: tRNA
About the family: Transfer RNA (tRNA) molecules are approximately 80 nucleotides in length. Their secondary structure includes four short double-helical elements and three loops (D, anti-codon, and T loops).
Source: Rfam by way of RNAcentral